GGGGCUGGGGCUCAGCGGUAGAGCGCUCGCCUGGCACGCGUGAGGCCCCGGGUUCAAUCCUCAGCACCA
Molecule: transfer RNA, 69 nt
Filed under: Ictidomys tridecemlineatus (thirteen-lined ground squirrel)
Lineage: Eukaryota; Metazoa; Chordata; Mammalia; Rodentia; Sciuridae
Description: Spermophilus tridecemlineatus (thirteen-lined ground squirrel) tRNA
Rfam family: tRNA
About the family: Transfer RNA (tRNA) molecules are approximately 80 nucleotides in length. Their secondary structure includes four short double-helical elements and three loops (D, anti-codon, and T loops).
Source: Rfam by way of RNAcentral